This 252-nucleotide unclassified non-coding RNA is filed under the name fungal sp. RNAcentral describes it as "partial contains small subunit ribosomal RNA, internal transcribed spacer 1, and 5.8S ribosomal RNA". The stretch from base 1 to 46 matches the Rfam family "Eukaryotic small subunit ribosomal RNA", at positions 1786 to 1831 of the family's 1831-position model. The record is from RNAcentral. Lineage: Eukaryota; Fungi.
AAGUCGUAACAAGGUUUCCGUAGGUGAACCUGCGGAAGGAUCAUUACCGAGUUAGGGUCUUUCAGGCCCGACCUCCAACCCUUUGUUUAUUCUUCCAUGUUGCUUUGGCGGGCCCGCUCUUAGGGGCCGCCGGGGGUUUUACCGCCCCUGGCCAGUGCUCGCCAGUAGCCUAUUUAAAUUCUCUAUAACUGUGUUGUCUGAGUAAUAAUAUAAAUCGUUAAAAAACUUUCAACAACGGAUCUCUUGGUUCUG